GACGAACGCUGGCGGCGUGCUUAACACAUGCAAGUCGAACGGAAAGGCCCUGCUUUUGUGGGGUGCUCGAGUGGCGAACGGGUGAGUAACACGUGAGUAACCUGCCCCUGACUUUGGGAUAACUUCAGGAAACUGGGGCUAAUACCGGAUAGGAGCUCCUGCUGCAUGGUGGGGGGUGGAAAGUUUCGGCGGUCGGGGAUGGACUCGCGGCUUAUCAGCUUGUUGGUGGGGUAGUGGCUGACCAAGGCUUUGGCGGGUAGCCGGCCUGAGAGGGUGACCGGCCACAUUGGGCCUACGGUACGGCCCAGUCUCCUACGGGGGGCAGCAGUGGGGAAUAUUGCACAAUGGGCGGAAGCCUGAUGCGACAACGCCGCGUGCGGGAUGACGGCCUUCGGGUUGUAAACCGCUUUCGCCUGAGACGAAGCGUGAGUGACGGUAAUGGGUAAAGAAGCACCGGCUAACUACGUG
Molecule: ribosomal RNA, 468 nt
Filed under: uncultured bacterium
Lineage: Bacteria
Description: partial 16S ribosomal RNA
Rfam family: Bacterial small subunit ribosomal RNA
Source: RNAcentral